GUAAUUGUCUUAUACCUAAUUUUUAAACUUAAUAACCAAAAGAACUAAAUUAAAGAUUUAAAACAAUUAAUCCUAAUUAGAGAUUAAAUUGAAUCUUAAUUUUAUUUAGUUUCCUAUGAAAACAAAUUAUAGCAGUCAGACAAGCUUUAGGAAUUGGUUUGACAUUGAAACUAGGCUAAAGAUAAAACAUGAAAUUCAGAUGUAUUUUGACAGAUGAAGUUUAAAUGUAUUUUAACACAAAUAUUAUCUCUUUGAGACUACCAAGUAAGUUCUGAGAGCAGGGCACUUAAAAUUUUUUUCUAGUUCAUUUACAUUGAGUUAUGCUCCUGGGAAGAUAAUGUUUGUGGUACCUCAACAAUUUUAGGUUUGCUUAUUUUUAGCUAUGAUACCUCUGUUUUUUAGACUGAAGUUGAAUUUGUGCAAUCUUUGUUUAAUUCAGUGUUGUUUGUUCAUGUUAUGUAUAACUAAAUUGAAUUGCAAGCAGAAAUCCAUUUUUUAACCUGUUUUA
Molecule: long non-coding RNA, 508 nt
Filed under: Bos taurus (domestic cattle)
Lineage: Eukaryota; Metazoa; Chordata; Mammalia; Artiodactyla; Bovidae
Description: long non-coding RNA NONBTAT022495
Source: RNAcentral